AUUGAACGCUGGCGGCAUGCUUUACACAUGCAAGUCGAACGGCAGCGCGGGCUUCGGCCUGGCGGCGAGUGGCGAACGGGUGGGUAAUACAUCGGAACGUGCCCAGUAGUGGGGGAUAGCUCGGCGAAAGCCGGAUUAAUACCGCAUACGACCUGAGGGUGAAAGCGGGGGAUCUUCGGACCUCGCGCUAUUGGAGCGGCCGAUGGCAGAUUAGCUAGUUGGUGGGGUAAAGGCCUACCAAGGCGACGAUCUGUAGCUGGUCUGAGAGGACGACCAGCCACACUGGGACUGAGACACGGCCCAGACUCCUACGGGAGGCAGCAGUGGGGAAUUUUGGACAAUGGGCGAAAGCCUGAUCCAGCAAUGCCGCGUGUGUGAUGAAGGCCUUCGCGUUGUAAAGCACUUUUGGCGGGAACGAAAAGGACUGUGCCAAUACCACGGUUCGAUGACGGUACCCGCAGAAUAAGCACCGGCUAACUACGUG
RNAcentral lists this ribosomal RNA (484 nucleotides) under uncultured bacterium. RNAcentral describes it as "partial 16S ribosomal RNA". It matches the Rfam family "Bacterial small subunit ribosomal RNA", at positions 29 to 507 of the family's 1533-position model. The record is from RNAcentral.